Molecule: long non-coding RNA, 959 nt
Organism: Cavia porcellus (domestic guinea pig)
Lineage: Eukaryota; Metazoa; Chordata; Mammalia; Rodentia; Caviidae
Exons: 3
Source: RefSeq, a predicted model, not a curated record
GGAAUUUCUUCCUCCUUCCCUUUAGCUUGAGAUCCCAAGGCCUGGGAGGGGUACAGGUGAAAGGCAGGACUGAAAGUGGACAGAAGUAGCCCCACCAGCGGGGCCUGGUCCCACAGCCAGUCCCUGCGUCCUCUCCCAAAACCUGCACCUUAGUGAGAGCCCGGAGAAGAGUCACAUUGCCACGUGUGCAGCUUCAGAAACCAUCCUGUGACCAUGAGGAAAAAGGAAAAAUGAGAACAUGAAAUAAGAAACUCUUAAAUGAUGCCAUGGAUCAGAGGCACCAUAGUGGUGACUUUCUACCUACCGUCAGACUUUCUGUAUGAGACGGACUCAUCCUCUGUGUUUAAGGUAGCAAGCCUGAGGUCCCGAAAUAUCAAGAGGUUUGCCGGGAGGUUUGCAGUUAUGAAAUAGCACAGCAAGCACCAGGAUGAGACGAGGAGACAGCCCAGCUAUGUCUUUAUCUUCCACACCUCCUUUGUAUUCUUCCUUGACAUUAUCACAAACUGACUCAUCAGCAAGAGGAUAAUCUACUAGGAAGCAGACGCGGGGAAUUUGGCCUGAUUGUCAUGGGCUGGAGACAAGGAGUCUACGAAAAGCUUGAACCAGAGCCUGAGUUUUCAGUGCCUCUGUUUGGCCUUGCUGUUCAUCUCUUACUUUUCAAAGCUCCCCAGUAAAACUGGAGUUAGGCUUGCUAAGAUGGUCUUCAUUAACCUGCACACAACGUCCAUCUGGAGAGCAGUUCGGUACCCUCUAAGUCACACUAGGCUGUCUGUCCCUUUUUCCCAGCCACCACUGACAGAGAAACCUCUGAGGAAGAAGGUACCCAUCUGGCAGGCAUGCAGAGCCGGGGUGCUUCAUAUUUAACUGAAGUGUAGCAAAAGCAGACAAAGCAGUUACAAGAAAAGAAAACUACAAUCACUAUAGAGAACAAAGUUGCAAACAUCUUUACCAUGAUAUUA